Molecule: unclassified non-coding RNA, 180 nt
Filed under: uncultured fungus
Lineage: Eukaryota; Fungi
Description: sequence contains ITS1, 5.8S rRNA gene
Source: RNAcentral
AUAUUUUGAAUUAAGUAUAUUCAUAAUAUGUUAUCAGACGAAUGUUGUUCAAGGUUAUAGGUUGGUGUAGGUGUUUCUCCGAAAAGAAACACAACAUUGCACACAAGGUGAGUACUAUUUUUAAAAAGUGCAGUAAAACACUUAUUAUGAAUGAUCCUUCCGCAGGUUCACCUACGGAAA